GUGCCUUAAACUAAUGAGUAAGGAAAAUAACGAGCGUUGGUGACGCUUCGCUCUACUAAUAUAAUUUAGUAGAAAUAUUUUAAAGGGUACAGGUCGUCCCAGGCUCACCUACCUACUUUGUAGGAGGGCCCAGGAGUCAGCGAUCUGCCCU
This 151-nucleotide small nuclear RNA is filed under the name Procambarus clarkii (red swamp crayfish). RNAcentral's name for it is "U12 minor spliceosomal RNA". It matches the Rfam family "U12 minor spliceosomal RNA". From Rfam's summary of the family: Although the U12 sequence is very divergent from that of U2, the two are functionally analogous. The record is from RNAcentral. Lineage: Eukaryota; Metazoa; Arthropoda; Malacostraca; Decapoda; Cambaridae.